This 82-nucleotide transfer RNA is filed under the name archaeon. RNAcentral describes it as "tRNA-Leu". It matches the Rfam family "tRNA". Rfam says of the family: Transfer RNA (tRNA) molecules are approximately 80 nucleotides in length. Their secondary structure includes four short double-helical elements and three loops (D, anti-codon, and T loops). Further hydrogen bonds mediate the characteristic L-shaped molecular structure. tRNAs have two regions of fundamental functional importance: the anti-codon, which is responsible for specific mRNA codon recognition, and the 3' end, to which the tRNAs corresponding amino acid is attached (by aminoacyl-tRNA synthetases). tRNAs cope with the degeneracy of the genetic code in two manners: having more than one tRNA (with a specific anti-codon) for a particular amino acid; and 'wobble' base-pairing, i.e. permitting non-standard base-pairing at the 3rd anti-codon position. The record is from RNAcentral. RNAcentral also lists the same sequence under 1 other name.
GCAGGGGUUCCCGAGUGGUCAAAGGGGCACGGCUAAGAACCGUGUGCUUAGUGCUUCGCAGGUUCGAAUCCUGUCCCUUGCA